Molecule: ribosomal RNA, 262 nt
Filed under: uncultured bacterium
Lineage: Bacteria
Description: partial 16S ribosomal RNA
Rfam family: Bacterial small subunit ribosomal RNA
Source: RNAcentral
GCAGCCGCGGUAAUACGUGGGGGGCAAGCGUUGUCCGGAUUUAGUGGGCGUAAAGAGCGUGUAGGCGGCCAGGUAGGUCGGUUGUGAAAACUGGAGGCUCAACUUCCAGACGUCGACCGAAACCAUCUGGCUAGAGUCCGGAAGAGGAGAGUGGAAUUCCUGGUGUAGCGGUGGAAUGCGCAGAUAUCAGGAAGAACACCCGUGGCGAAGGCGGCUCUCUGGGACGGUACUGACGCUGAGACGCGAAAGCGUGGGGAGCGAA